This 497-nucleotide ribosomal RNA is filed under the name uncultured bacterium. RNAcentral's name for it is "partial 16S ribosomal RNA". It matches the Rfam family "Bacterial small subunit ribosomal RNA", at positions 28 to 507 of the family's 1533-position model. The record is from RNAcentral.
GAUGAACGCUGGCGGCGUGCCUAAUACAUGCAAGUCGAGCGAACAGACGAGGAGCUUGCUCCUCUGACGUUAGCGGCGGACGGGUGAGUAACACGUGGAUAACCUACCUAUAAGACUGGGAUAACUUCGGGAAACCGGAGCUAAUACCGGAUAAUAUAUUGAACCGCAUGGUUCAAUAGUGAAAGACGGUUUUGCUGUCACUUAUAGAUGGAUCCGCGCCGCAUUAGCUAGUUGGUAAGGUAACGGCUUACCAAGGCAACGAUGCGUAGCCGACCUGAGAGGGUGAUCGGCCACCCUGGAACUGAGACACGGUCCAGACUCCUACGGGAGGAAGCAGUAGGGAAUCUUCCGCAAGGGGCGAAAGCCUGACGGAGCAACGCCGCGUGAGUGAUGAAGGUCUUCGGAUCGUAAAACUCUGUUAUUAGGGAAGAACAAAUGUGUAAGUAACUAUGCACGUCUUGACGGUACCUAAUCAGAAAGCCACGGCUAACUACGUG